Cebus imitator (Panamanian white-faced capuchin) is the source of this 595-nucleotide long non-coding RNA. RefSeq lists it as uncharacterized. The transcript has 3 exons. The record is from RefSeq and is a predicted model, not a curated record. NCBI's taxonomy places the organism in Eukaryota, Metazoa, Chordata, Mammalia, Primates, Cebidae.
AACAAAGUGUAUUCGGUGUCCCGCCUUUGCACUCUGAAAAUUUAUCUUUUCAUUUAAUACGUUAUCUCAAGUUUUGCAUUACAACUUCUGUAGUUACUGUAACUUGGAACAUUUUCAUGGCAUUUUAUUUGGCAUAUUUGUUGGUCUUCAUGAGAAUUCCAGGUUGACAUCAUUUUCUCAUUCUUCUGUAAAGUUAUUUGUGUAUCAAGGAUGUCAAUCUCUCAUCUGAGAUACAUUUGCCAAGCUAUCUUCCCAAUUUUUUUCAUAUGUCUUUUAUUUUUUUGCAAGUCACUUAUUUUUGAAUUAUAAUAGAUUUUUAUGAUUAAAGAAGUAAUAUGGUUUUAUGUCUUAAGAGUUAAUAAAGAAUGUAUGGAGGUCUUAGAACUCCAGCCUCUGGAUUGAUCAGUGUUAAACGGCAGCCCCGGCAGUGGUGGCUCCAGGAGCCAGUACAAAACAGCUUGGACUUUAGGGUAGGACAGUGGUAAUACCGAUUGUGAAAGGUUUCACAAAGAUGGAAGGAGAUCACAUAACAAGUUUUAUUCACACAGAAGCAGGUCCUUGAGGAAUCGCCACACUGUCUCCCACAAUGGUUGAA